CUCGUAGGCGGUUCAGUAAGUCGGCUGUGAAAUUCCGAGGCUCAACCUCGGAACUGCAGUCGAUACUAUUGUGACUAGAGUCCGGUAGAGGAGAAUGGAAUUCCCGGUGUAGCGGUGAAAUGCGCAGAUAUCGGGAGGAACACCAGUAGCGAAGGCGGUUCUCUGGGCCGGUACUGACGCUGAGGAACGAAAGCGUGGGGAGCAAACA
Molecule: ribosomal RNA, 208 nt
Filed under: uncultured bacterium
Lineage: Bacteria
Description: partial 16S ribosomal RNA
Rfam family: Bacterial small subunit ribosomal RNA
Source: RNAcentral